GGCAAAUGUUGACAAGAACUUGCCUAUCAACCACGGAGUAGAGACCAGCUUGAGACUCAAGAGACCUUCCACUCCGAUAUUCUUAACUGGCCUUCAGACUCUAUCAUCCAGUGAGUACAAGAGAGACUUCAGUCUGUCUCAGGUAAGAUUAUCUUUUGUUUUCUUCUCCUAAGUAAGAGCAGUUUCGAGAUAAAGAUGAGAUUGAGCUUAUUCUCCAGUAACUCUGACCUGUUGCCUUGAGUACCACUCUCAGGUUCCCAGAUGGUUUUUAUGUGUUCACUGGUUUGGGGUGCCUUUUCUCUGAUUGGGUUCCUCUCUUGUGCUCUCUCCAGUGCUAGUGAUUCCUUUGGGUGGGGUCACAUAUCAGCUAUCCUGCACAUCAGAUAUUUACAUUAUGAUUCAUAACCAUAGCAAAAUGACAGUUAUGAGGCAGCAAUGAAAAUAAUUUUAUGGUUGGGGGUCACCACAACAUGAGGAACUUAAGGGCCACAGCAAUAGGAAGGUUGAGAACCACUGUUUUAGAAGAAAGAGCUGAGGAAACAUUUGUGGACGAACUUGCCUCAGUACUGUCUUUCUGUGUCUCAAAUCUAUGCCUUCAGAGAACCUUGAUGUCAUCUCAAAACUAUUGGUAGAACUGGUUUGUGCACAGUUCUUCAUACUUGUACCAGAAAUACACAUGCGA
RNAcentral lists this long non-coding RNA (682 nucleotides) under Mus spretus (western wild mouse). Its description in RNAcentral is "lncRNA (ENSMSPG00010024882.1)". The record is from RNAcentral. Lineage: Eukaryota; Metazoa; Chordata; Mammalia; Rodentia; Muridae.